This 442-nucleotide ribosomal RNA is filed under the name uncultured bacterium. RNAcentral's name for it is "partial 16S ribosomal RNA". It matches the Rfam family "Bacterial small subunit ribosomal RNA", at positions 338 to 795 of the family's 1533-position model. The record is from RNAcentral.
CCUACGGGAGGCAGCAGUGGGGAAUAUUGGGCAAUGGGCGCAAGCCUGACCCAGCAAUGCCGCGUGAAGGAAGAAGGCUUUCGGGUUGUAAACUUCUUUGACAGGGGAAGAGCAGAAGACGGUACCCUGAAAACAAGCCACGGCUAACUACGUGCCAGCAGCCGCGGUAAUACGUAGGUGGCAAGCGUUGUCCGGAUUUACUGGGUGUAAAGGGCGUGUAGCCGGGAAGGCAAGUCAGAUGUGAAAUCCGGAGGCUCAACCUCCGAAUUGCAUUUGAAACUGUUUUUCUUGAGUACUGGAGAGGCAGACGGAAUUCCUUGUGUAGCGGUGAAAUGCGUAGAUAUAAGGAGGAACACCAGUGGCGAAGGCGGUCUGCUGGACAGCAACUGACGGUGAGGCGCGAAAGCGUGGGGAGCAAACAGGAUUAGAUACCCCAGUAGUC